GGUGAGAUGGCCGAGUUGGUCCAUGGCGCCAGGUUAAGGUAAAUCUUAACAUCGUUUCCUGGUGGGGAAACCCUCGUGGGUUCAAAUCCCACUCUCAUCA
Molecule: non-coding RNA, 100 nt
Organism: Xylariales sp. AK1849
Lineage: Eukaryota; Fungi; Ascomycota; Sordariomycetes; Xylariales
Source: the annotation of a GenBank genome assembly